CUACGGGGGGCUGCAGUGAGGAAUUUUGCGCAAUGGGGGAAACCCUGACGCAGCAACGCCGCGUGGGUGAAGAAGGCUUUCGGGUCGUAAAGCCCUGUCAGGUGGGAAAAAAUACUCCUGGUUAAUAGCCAGGGGAGCUGAUGGUACCACCAGAGGAAGCACCGGCUAACUCCGUGCCAGCAGCCGCGGUAAUACGGAGGGUGCAAGCGUUGUUCGGAAUUACUGGGCGUAAAGCGCGUGUAGGCGGCCUGAUAAGUCAGAUGUGAAAGCCCUGGGCUUAACUCAGGAAGUGCAUUUGAAACUGGCAGGCUUGAGUAUGGGAGAGGGGAGUGGAAUUCCCAGUGUAGAGGUGAAAUGCGUAGAUAUUGGGAGGAACACCCGUGGCGAAGGCGACUCUCUGGACCAAUACUGACGCUGAGACGCGAAAGCGUGGGGAGCAAACAGGAUUAGAUACCCGAGUAGUC
Molecule: ribosomal RNA, 464 nt
Filed under: uncultured bacterium
Lineage: Bacteria
Description: partial 16S ribosomal RNA
Rfam family: Bacterial small subunit ribosomal RNA
Source: RNAcentral